RNAcentral lists this ribosomal RNA (483 nucleotides) under Aporrectodea rosea. RNAcentral describes it as "partial 16S ribosomal RNA". It matches the Rfam family "Bacterial large subunit ribosomal RNA", at positions 1817 to 2597 of the family's 2925-position model. Lineage: Eukaryota; Metazoa; Annelida; Clitellata; Crassiclitellata; Lumbricidae. RNAcentral also lists the same sequence under 1 other name. The record is from RNAcentral.
UGCUUCUUGCAUCCACAUAAGAAGUAAUUCCUGCCCAGUGACUCACGUUCAACGGCCGCGGUAUCCUAACCGUGCAAAGGUAGCAUAAUCACUUGCCCAUUAAUUGUGGGCUAGAAUGAAAGGACCAACGAAAUAAAAACUGUCUCUAUAAGUCGCAUAAAAAUUAAUCUCUAACUGAAGACUGUUAGAUACCGUUGAAGGACAAGAAGACCCUGUAGAGCUUCAUUUUAAUUAAAACUGACUAUUUAAAUAAGAUUCGGUUGGGGCGACCAGGGAAAAAUCAAUCAUCCCCUACAAAAAGAUUAAUUAAUCUACUUUAUGACCCUUAAUUAAGAUCACCAGAACAAGCUACCUUAGGGAUAACAGGCUAAUCCCACUAAAGAGUUCUUAUCAAUAGUGGGGGUUGGCACCUCGAUGUUGGCUUAGGGAAUCUAUAUGAAGCAAAAGUCAUAUAAAGAUGGUUUGUUCAACCAAUAAUACCCU